Molecule: ribosomal RNA, 404 nt
Filed under: Actinomycetes bacterium
Lineage: Bacteria; Bacillati; Actinomycetota; Actinomycetes
Description: Actinobacteria bacterium partial 16S ribosomal RNA
Rfam family: Bacterial small subunit ribosomal RNA
Source: RNAcentral
UGGGGAAUAUUGGACAAUGGGCGCAAGCCUGAUCCAGCCAUGCCGCGUGAAUGAUGAAGGCCCUAGGGUUGUAAAGCUCUUUCACCGGUGAAGAUAAUGACGGUAACCGGAGAAGAAGCCCCGGCUAACUUCGUGCCAGCAGCCGCGGUAAUACGAAGGGGGCUAGCGUUGUUCGGAUUUACUGGGCGUAAAGCGCACGUAGGCGGACUAUUAAGUCAGGGGUGAAAUCCCGGGGCUCAACCCCGGAACUGCCUUUGAUACUGGUAGUCUUGAGUUCGAGAGAGGUGAGUGGAAUUCCGAGUGUAGAGGUGAAAUUCGUAGAUAUUCGGAGGAACACCAGUGGCGAAGGCGGCUCACUGGCUCGAUACUGACGCUGAGGUGCGAAAGCGUGGGGAGCAAACAGG